Molecule: small nucleolar RNA, 220 nt
Organism: Oryza sativa (Asian cultivated rice)
Lineage: Eukaryota; Viridiplantae; Streptophyta; Magnoliopsida; Poales; Poaceae
Rfam family: Plant small nucleolar RNA U3
About the family: Small nucleolar RNAs (snoRNAs) are involved in the processing and modification of rRNA in the nucleolus.
Source: Rfam
ACGACCUUACUUGAACAGGAUCUGUUCUAUAGGCUCGUACCGUUGCAUCCUUUACCAAUAAGGAGGCAAGCUCUCAAGUCUGGUUGAUGCCGACAUAACCUCCGGGCCAGAGCGUGAUUUAACGGCUAGGGUGCAUGUUUGAGCCAUCCGACGGCUGCAGAGGAUCGUUCCUGCCUGGUUCACUCCGGUGCAGGGUGGCCCAGAGGUUGUCUGACAGACA